GACGAACGCUGGCGGCGUGCUUAACACAUGCAAGUCGAACGAUGAAGAAAAGAAUCGAAGCUUCGGCAGAAAUUCAUUUCGGAUUAGUGGCAGACGGGUGAGUAACGCGUGAGCAACCUACCCCUUACAAAGGGAUAGCCUCGGGAAACCGGGAUUAAUACCAUAUAACAUUGCGACGAAGCAUUUCGAUGCAAUCAAAGCUACGGCGGUAAGAGAUGGGCUCGCGUCCCAUUAACCGGAUGGUGAGGUAACGGCGCACCAUAGGGACGAUGGGUAACCGGGCUGGGAGGGUGACCGGUCACACUGGAACUAGGACACAGUCCAGACUCCUACGGGAGGCAGCAGUGGGGAAUAUUGCACAAUGGAGGGAGCUCUGAUGCAGCGACGCCGCGUAAGUGAUGAAGGGAUUCGUUUCGUAAAGCUCUGUUCUAUGGGAAGAAAAGGACUGUACCAUAGGAGAAAGCACCGGCUAACUACGUG
This 480-nucleotide ribosomal RNA is filed under the name uncultured bacterium. RNAcentral describes it as "partial 16S ribosomal RNA". It matches the Rfam family "Bacterial small subunit ribosomal RNA", at positions 28 to 507 of the family's 1533-position model. The record is from RNAcentral.